UGUGGAUUCAUUCCACAGCCUCUUUUGAGAGUCAGCUAAAAGUAAUGACUUUACAGUGUGUAAUUAUCUUUCCCUUCAGAGUGCUAAGGCCACAAUUGGCAAGUUUUCUUUGUGAGACACUAUUUUUUUUUGGUAAUGGUGUUGACAAAGGAUUGGCAAACUAUGGCCCAUGAGUUAGAUUGAGACCUUUUCCCUGUUUUUCUAUGUAUACUUUAUUAUAACUUAGCCAUACCCAUAUGUUUAUGUUAUCUAUGGUGCUUCUGCAAAGCAAAUUAAUAGUCUGAAUUCAACAGCACUGAAAUAUCUUCUGUGGUAAAAGGGUUUCAAAUUAUGACAAUACCCCAGGGGUUCCUGGAGUAUUGCUAGGGUUUCUUAAAAAGAAGAAGAAGAAGAAAGGGUAGUCAAUCUUAGGCGUGUUUGCUUUUUUGUCUGCGCCAUUGUUCCCAGACUCAGAGUACUUAAACGCAUCACUGUUGCCUGGCUAUGACAAAAAAAUAUUUGCUCAAUCCUAGAGAAGACCUUUGGUAUCCCUAUUUUUGGGGGGUUCUUUAUUACCUUGUAU
This 562-nucleotide long non-coding RNA is filed under the name Marmota monax (woodchuck). Lineage: Eukaryota; Metazoa; Chordata; Mammalia; Rodentia; Sciuridae. The record is from RNAcentral.